CCUACGGGAGGCAGCAGUAGGGAAUCUUCCACAAUGGGCGAAAGCCUGAUGGAGCAACGCCGCGUGGGUGAAGAAGGUCUUCGGAUCGUAAAACCCUGUUGUUAGAGAAGAAAGUGCGUGAGAGUAACUGUUCACGUUUCGACGGUAUCUAACCAGAACGCCACGGCUAACUACGUGCCAGCAGCCGCGGUAAUACGUAGGUGGCAAGCGUUAUCCGGAUUUAUUGGGCGUAAAGGGAACGAAGGCGGUCUUUUAAGUCUGAUGUGAAAGCCUUCGGCUUAACCGGAGUAGUGCAUUGGAAACUGGGAGACGUGAGUGCAGAAGAGGAGAGUGGAACUCCAUGUGUAGCGGUGAAAUGCGUAGAUAUAUGGAAGAACACCAGUGGCGAAAGCGGCUCUCUGGUCUGUAACUGACGCUGAGGUUCGAAAGCGUGGGUAGCAAACAGGAUUAGAUACCCUGGUAGUC
RNAcentral lists this ribosomal RNA (465 nucleotides) under uncultured bacterium. RNAcentral describes it as "partial 16S ribosomal RNA". It matches the Rfam family "Bacterial small subunit ribosomal RNA", at positions 338 to 795 of the family's 1533-position model. The record is from RNAcentral.